RNAcentral lists this ribosomal RNA (253 nucleotides) under uncultured bacterium. RNAcentral's name for it is "partial 16S ribosomal RNA". It matches the Rfam family "Bacterial small subunit ribosomal RNA", at positions 524 to 776 of the family's 1533-position model. The record is from RNAcentral.
UACGUAGGGUGCGAGCGUUAAUCGGAAUUACUGGGCGUAAAGCGUGCGUAGGCGGUUGGCAAAGUCAGCUGUGAAAGCCCCGGGCUUAACCUGGGAAUGGCGGUUGAAACUAGUCGACUCGAAUCUGGCAGAGGGGGGUGGAAUUCCACGUGUAGCAGUGAAAUGCGUAGAGAUGUGGAGGAACACCGAUGGCGAAGGCAGCCCCCUGGGCUGAGAUUGACGCUCAGGCACGAAAGCGUGGGGAGCGAACGGG